Molecule: ribosomal RNA, 497 nt
Filed under: uncultured bacterium
Lineage: Bacteria
Description: partial 16S ribosomal RNA
Rfam family: Bacterial small subunit ribosomal RNA
Source: RNAcentral
GAUGAACGCUGGCGGCGUGCCUAAUACAUGCAAGUCGAGCGAACAGACGAGGAGCUUGCUCCUCUGACGUUAGCGGCGGACGGGUGAGUCACACGUGGAUAACCUACCUAUCAGACUGGGAUAACUUCGGGAGACCGGAGCUAAUACCGGAUAAUAUAUUGAACCGCAUGGUUCACUAGUUAAAGUCGGUUUUUCUGUCACUUAUAGACGGAUCCGCGCCGCAUUCGCUAGUUGGUAAGGUAACGGCUUACCAACGCAGCGAUGCGUAGCCGACCUGAGAGGGUGAUCGGCUACACGGGAACUGAGACAGGGCCCAGACUCCUACGGGGGGCAGCAGUAGGGAAUCUUACGCAAGGGGCGAGAGCCUGACGGAGCAAAGCGGCGGGAGGGAUGAAGGUCUUCGGCUCGUAAAACGCUGUUAUUAGGGAAGAACAAAUGUGUAAGUAACUAUGCACGUCUUGACGGUACCUAAUGAGAAAGCCACGGCUAACUACGUG